UACGGAGGAUCCGAGCGUUAUCCGGAUUUAUUGGGUUUAAAGGGUGCGCAGGCGGGAGAUUAAGUCGGCGGUGAAAUUUUGCAGCUCAACUGUAAAAGUGCCUUCGAAACUGGUUUCCUUGAGUGUAGAUGAAGUAGGCGGAAUUUGUGGUCUAGCGGUGAAAUGCAUAGAUAUCACGAGGAACUCCGAUUGCGCAGGCAGCUUACUAAACUACUACUGACGCUCAGGCACGGAGGCGUGGGGAUCAAACAGGAUUAGAUACCCCGGUA
This 269-nucleotide ribosomal RNA is filed under the name uncultured prokaryote. RNAcentral describes it as "partial 16S ribosomal RNA". It matches the Rfam family "Bacterial small subunit ribosomal RNA", at positions 524 to 792 of the family's 1533-position model. The record is from RNAcentral.